UAGGGAAUAUUCGACAUGGACGAAAGUCUGAUCUAGCAACACCGCGUGUGCGAAGAAGGCCUUCGGGUUGUAAAGCACUUUUUGGAAGGAUUAGGAAGGAAUGUACUUCCAGAAUAAGUCCCGGCUAACUACGUGCCAGCAGCCGCGGUAACACGUAGGAGGCAAACGUUAUCCGGAUUUACUGGGCGUAAAGCGCGUGUAGGUGGUUCUGUAAGUAGGGCGUGAAAGCUCCUGGCUCAACUGGGAGAGGGCGUUCUAAACUGCAGAGCUAGAGGAUGGUAGAGGGAGGUGGAAUUCCGGGUGUAGCGGUGGAAUGCGCAGAUAUCCGGAGGAACACCAGUGGCGAAAGCGGCCUCCUGGACCAUUCCUGACACUCAGACGCGAAAGCUAGGGUAGCAAACG
Molecule: ribosomal RNA, 402 nt
Filed under: uncultured prokaryote
Description: bacterial SSU rRNA
Rfam family: Bacterial small subunit ribosomal RNA
Source: RNAcentral